Long non-coding RNA from Rhineura floridana, 2214 nucleotides. RefSeq lists it as uncharacterized. The transcript has 6 exons. NCBI's taxonomy places the organism in Eukaryota, Metazoa, Chordata, Lepidosauria, Squamata, Rhineuridae. The record is from RefSeq and is a predicted model, not a curated record.
CUUCCCAAGGGGAAGGAUGCACAGGCGUGUAUAAAGGUCCUCAAGAAUUCAGCCGCUCGCUCAUUUGUUCAUUGACAACUCCAGUUGACUUCUCUCUCUGCUUAAGAAGGAUUCCAGAUGGGUGUUUAAAUUAAUUUCAGGAAGUAGUUAUCACCCCUAAUGUGUUUGUUUCUUCUCCACCAAGAUGGCUUGUGAUUGUUGUGGUUCAUCCGAUGAGUGAACAAUCAUCUGUUGUGUCCCUUCCAGCAACGGCUGUGGUGGCAGCGGUGGCUCCUGCUGCCCCCCUUGUUGCUGCACUCCCUGCCACUGCACCCCCAGCUGCUGUGCCCCUUGCUGUUCCCUGCUACGGCAGCCCCAAGGCUUGCUGCUCGCCUGCCUGCUGUCAGACUAAGUGCUAUAAGAGAUGCUGCUAAAACAUCUCCAGAAUUACGGGCAAGUCUAGAAUCUUCUAGAAGUGGAAGAACAUCUCCACCACCACCACCACCAUGGGUCAUUUUACCACUGUGAAUUAAUGACCUAAGACUGCAGCCCUAAGCACAUUUUCCAGGGAGUGAGCUCCCUUGAGCUCAGUGGGACUUACUUCUGAGUCGACAUGCCGAGCCUUGCACCACAAAGCUUCAAAGCACCCUCCUUCACUCCGUUGAUGGAUUCCUCUCUUCUUUCAUCCAACAAAAUAUAAGUGAAAGUUGUAUAGAUGGUGUUCUUAUAUUUGUCUUGGUGUCCAGGGUCCUUUCUCCAAUAAAGACCUAUAAUCAUGGAAGUUGAUAUUCUUGUUUUUUUCAUUAAGCUUUUACUGCAAUCAUGAGCAUUCCACACAACUGUAUUUCUACAGAACGACAGGCUUGUUUCUUAGUGUGGUGGUGUUGAAGACGCUGGCAUCACCAGGCCUACCUCCACUGGCUCCUGAAGCUUCUACUGUCACCUUGAGAGUCCUCGUCUCUGUCACCUCCCUCUCCGUCAUUCCACCAUGGCCAGACAUUAGUCCUUCUCCAUCUCUUUCCAGCCUUCCUGAAUGGUGCUGCAUCUUCUUCACCUCCUGCAUCCCUUCCUGCACUUUCAUCACAUUGCAUUCAACUCGCUUCCUGUAUGCCUGUGAAACUGACCCGCUGUGGAAUGAAGGAAUGUGCCUAGGGAGAAUGUACAGCUGGUAUAGCACAGUGGGGAGAAAAGCCUGGCUGGGAGUCCAGAGUCUGAACAUGAACCGGAAGAUGCUGUAGUGGGAACCGAGUAACGUGCCUUGAUGGUUCAUUGAGAAUUUUCCAUUCUUGGGUGGAGCCUCACAUGUCCUUGGAGAAAAAUGUUCUGGAUAGUAUAUAUAAGGCUGUUCCUGUCCCAGAGAUCUAUACUCCUACCCUUGGGUUCAUCAGAAUCACCAGCUUCCACCUGUGAACAAGCUUUACAUCCACUCCACAAAGAUGAGCUGUUCUUGCUGUUCUAACUGUGGCUGCUGUGGGCGUAGCAGUACCAGGAUCAUAUACUGUAGCAUGCCAUCCCAGCCCUGCUGUUGCCCCUGCUACACCCCCAGGCAAUCCUGCUGCUGCUCCCCAUGUUGCAGUUCCACGCAGUCCUACUACGCUCCCACGAAGGCAACAGGCUGUGCUCAGAUGCAACAGAACUACAUGCCAAGCAAGAAAUGUUGCUAAGGGAGCCACCAGCCUGCUGGAAUCGCCAAAGGAACAUCUGCCUGAUGGGAUCAACGCCAUCACUGAUCAUGCUGAAUUCAAGGCCUGCUGCUUGAUUUCUCUGCCCAUGUGUCUCACCAAGCGAAAUGUCCCAACCAGUGGUGGCUGGGGGCUCCAUGUCAGUGGCACAGCGGAAGACGUUCCGGGUUUUAGUCCAGACUUUCAAGGGGCUGUCUAAGAGGCUGAACCUAUUGGUUUCAGCACCUUGGAGAGCUCCUGGGAAGUUUUGACUAAAGCCCAGAACGGAUUUCACUAUCCCUCUGAUAUGGAGCCACUGACUGCCACUGGCCCCAACCUCACCCUAGCUCUUUUACUUUCCUGCAGAUUAACUUUCCCUUUGCUUUAAAUGAUGAGAUCCUUCUACAGGGAUGGAAGAAUGAAUCUGAGCAAACUGCAUUUCGAGUCCAUUGAAUGAUAUCUUUCAUUGCUUUCUUGGGUGAUGGAGCAAAUUGCUGUAUUCAGACUUCUUAAUGACCCCUUUGCUUGCUUACUCUGUAUACACAGAAUGCAAUAAAAACAAGACUUUCUGCAA